AGCGUGUCGCUCUCCCCAAGGACGAAGCCAUGCAUGCCCGCUCACCCGGGACGCGGCGGACGGCUCAGGACAACGGUUGCACCCCCCGCGGCGGUCCCUGCUAGCCGGACACCGCUGGCAACCCGGCGCCAA
Molecule: ribosomal RNA, 132 nt
Filed under: Giardia duodenalis
Lineage: Eukaryota; Fornicata; Diplomonadida; Hexamitidae
Description: Giardia intestinalis partial 18S ribosomal RNA
Source: RNAcentral